This 484-nucleotide ribosomal RNA is filed under the name uncultured bacterium. RNAcentral's name for it is "partial 16S ribosomal RNA". It matches the Rfam family "Bacterial small subunit ribosomal RNA", at positions 30 to 507 of the family's 1533-position model. The record is from RNAcentral.
AUUGAACGCUGGCGGCAGGCUUAACACAUGCAAGUCGAGCGGAUGAAGGGAGCUUGCUCCUGGAUUCAGCGGCGGACGGGUGAGUAAUGCCUAGGAAUAUGCUUGGCAGUGGUGGAUAACGUCCGGAAACGGGCGCUAAUACCGCAUACGUCCUGAGGGAGCAAGUGGGGGAUCUUCGGACCUCACGCUAUCAGAUGAGUCUAGGUCGGAUUAGCUAGUUGGUGGGGUAAAGGCCUACCAAGGCGACGAUCCGCAACUGGUCUGAGAGGAGGGUCAGCCACACUAGAACUGAGACACGGACCAGACGCCUGCGGGAGGCAGCAGUGGGGAAUAUUGGACAGUGGGCGAAAGCAUGAUCCAGCCAUGCCGCGUGUGUGAAGGAAAUCUUCGGAUUGUAAAGCACUUUAAGGUGGGAGGAACGGCAGUAAGUUAAUACCUUGCUGUAUUGACGUUACCAACAGAAUAAGCACCGGCUAACUUCGUG